Molecule: non-coding RNA, 45 nt
Organism: Schistosoma curassoni
Lineage: Eukaryota; Metazoa; Platyhelminthes; Trematoda; Strigeidida; Schistosomatidae
Source: Rfam
AUCCAGCUGACAAGUCCCAAACAGGACAGAAUGCGUGUCCUGGAU